RNAcentral lists this transfer RNA (88 nucleotides) under Streptomyces griseoaurantiacus. Its description in RNAcentral is "tRNA-Glu". Lineage: Bacteria; Bacillati; Actinomycetota; Actinomycetes; Kitasatosporales; Streptomycetaceae. The record is from RNAcentral.
GUGGCCGCGGGCGGCGGCCGCGCGCAGGGCGUUCUCGACGUCCGCGCGCAGGAUGAGCCCCUCGGGUCCGGAGCCCGAGAGCCCGCGC